CUGCUUCACUUAGAACCAUGCUUAACUGCUACCUUCACCCUGCAAACAAGAUGCAUCUGCCCAGCCUGCUGGACCAGCAUGGAAGGGACCGUGGCUGCACUCAGGCCCUGUCCAGGCCCGCCCUGGAGGACUGUGGAGAGAGAUCUUCCCAGUGGACGGAACCGUGAGCACCUUGCCCAGCCAGAGAGAGAGCCAGAGGGAGAGGAAGAAUCUACUCUCAAAAGGAAGUCCAGGUUGACUGAGAUCUCCAAAGGCAUGAUUAGCUCUUUGUCAUUAGUCAGUUGACGUGGAAGUCUUACCCCAGUUUAUAACUUUGAAAUUAGCACAAAUCAGA
This is a long non-coding RNA of Hippopotamus amphibius kiboko, 334 nucleotides long. RefSeq lists it as uncharacterized. The transcript is spliced from 3 exons. Lineage: Eukaryota; Metazoa; Chordata; Mammalia; Artiodactyla; Hippopotamidae. The record is from RefSeq and is a predicted model, not a curated record.